UCGUCGAAGUGUACAGUGCAAAGUUAAUAAUCUCUAAAAUAUUUUACACAUUAAAUAGAAAUUUCUACUAAUAGGUAAUCAAACCAAUAAAAUUUCAUACAAAAGAAAAAGCCGAACAUAUAUCGGAGAGGCUCGACAUGUUCAAAGAGCUACUGGAGAUUUUAAGGUUAAACUGCAUUAUAGGCGAAGGUGGCGAAGUUUUUCUCCUGGCGUGGGACAGACUCCAAAAAAUGCAUUUAAACACAAGUUUGCGCUUGAGGAUCAUGAUUUCGACCACAAAACUCAAAAAUAUUUGCAGAAUGCGCAGGAACGGAAGGCAAGAUUAGAAUAGCGGGAUUUAAGGAAGAUUUUCGAUGGAAGACGGCGAUUUUGACUGGAUAACGAAAAAAUUCUUCCAAUACGCACAGGACAGAAUGUCGAAGGGGCAAAAGCAAAUUAAAGUUAAUUGACUAACCCAAUUUAUUUUUACUAUAAAAAUUAAAAAAGAUGAUUGAAAAAAAAAAAAA
Drosophila miranda is the source of this 506-nucleotide long non-coding RNA. RefSeq lists it as uncharacterized. The record is from RefSeq and is a predicted model, not a curated record. The transcript is spliced from 3 exons. Lineage: Eukaryota; Metazoa; Arthropoda; Insecta; Diptera; Drosophilidae.